UGGGGAAUAUUGGGCAAUGGGGGGAACCCUGACCCAGCAACGCCGCGUGAAGGAAGAAGGUUUUCGGAUUGUAAACUUCUGUCCUUGGUGAAGAGGAAGAGACGGUAGCCAAGGAGGAAGCCCCGGCUAACUACGUGCCAGCAGCCGCGGUAAUACGUAGGGGGCAAGCGUUAUCCGGAAUUAUUGGGCGUAAAGAGUGCGUAGGUGGUCGUGUAAGCGCGGGGUGAAAGGCUAUGGCUUAACCAUGGUAAGCCUUGCGAACUGUAAGACUUGAGUGCAGGAGAGGAAAGCGGAAUUCCUAGUGUAGCGGUGAAAUGCGUAGAUAUUAGGAGGAACACCAGUGGCGAAGGCGGCUUUCUGGACUGUAACUGACACUGAGGCACGAAAGCGUGGGGAGCAAACAGG
RNAcentral lists this ribosomal RNA (405 nucleotides) under uncultured prokaryote. Its description in RNAcentral is "bacterial SSU rRNA". It matches the Rfam family "Bacterial small subunit ribosomal RNA", at positions 355 to 776 of the family's 1533-position model. The record is from RNAcentral.